RNAcentral lists this ribosomal RNA (557 nucleotides) under uncultured bacterium. RNAcentral describes it as "bacterial SSU rRNA". It matches the Rfam family "Bacterial small subunit ribosomal RNA", at positions 99 to 653 of the family's 1533-position model. The record is from RNAcentral.
CGAACGGGUGAGUAACACAUCGGAACGUACCGGCUAGUGGGGGAUAACCCGUCGAAAGACGGGCUAAUACCGCAUACGCUCUUAGGAGGAAAGCAGGGGACCUUUGGGCCUUGCGCUAGCCGAGCGGCCGAUGUCCGAUUAGCUAGUUGGUGGGGUAAAGGCCUACCAAGGCGACGAUCGGUAGCGGGUCUGAGAGGACGAUCCGCCACACUGGGACUGAGACACGGCCCAGACUCCUACGGGAGGCAGCAGUGGGGAAUCUUGGACAAUGGGGGCAACCCUGAUCCAGCAAUGCCGCGUGGGUGAAGAAGGCCUUCGGGUUGUAAAGCCCUUUCGGCAGGGAAGAAAUCGGCGGGGCGAAUAACCCUGCUGGAUGACGGUACCUGCAGAAGAAGCACCGGCUAACUACGUGCCAGCAGCCGCGGUAAUACGUAGGGUGCGAGCGUUAAUCGGAUUUACUGGGCGUAAAGCGUGCGCAGGCGGCCCGUUAAGACAGGUGUGAAAUCCCUGGGCUCACCUAGGAAUUGCGCUUGUGACUGGCGGGCUCGAGUACGGUA